This 253-nucleotide ribosomal RNA is filed under the name uncultured bacterium. RNAcentral's name for it is "partial 16S ribosomal RNA". It matches the Rfam family "Bacterial small subunit ribosomal RNA", at positions 524 to 776 of the family's 1533-position model. The record is from RNAcentral.
UACGGGGGGGGCAAGCGUUGUUCGGAAUUACUGGGCGUAAAGGGCUCGUAGGCGGCCAACUAAGUCAGACGUGAAAUCCCUCGGCUUAACCGGGGAACUGCGUCUGAUACUGGAUGGCUUGAGUUCGGGAGAGGGAUGUGGAAUUCCAGGUGUAGCGGUGAAAUGCGUAGAUAUCUGGAGGAACACCGGUGGCGAAGGCGGCAUCCUGGACCGAGAUUGACGCUGAUGCGCGAAAGCCAGGGGAGCAAACGGG